AGAGUUUGAUCCUGGCUCAGGAUGAACGCUGGCGGUAUGCUUAACACAUGCAAGUCGAACGGUGUCUUCGGACAUAGUGGCGGACGGGUGAGUAACGCGUGAGAAUCUGCCUUCAGGUUGGGGACAACAGCUGGAAACGGCUGCUAAUACCCAAUGUGCCGAGAGGUGAAAGCUUUAGUGCCUGAGGAUGAGCUCGCGUCUGAUUAGCUAGUUGGAGUGGUAAUGGCACACCAAGGCGACGAUCAGUAGCUGGUCUGAGAGGAUGAUCAGCCACACUGGGACUGAGACACGGCCCAGACUCCUACGGGAGGCAGCAGUGGGGAAUUUUCCGCAAUGGGCGCAAGCCUGACGGAGCAAUACCGCGUGAGGGAGGAAGGCUUUUGGGUUGUAAACCUCUUUUAUCAGGGAAGAAGAUCUGACGGUACCUGAUGAAUCAGCAUCGGCUAACUCCGUGCCAGCAGCCGCGGUAAUACGGAGGAUGCAAGCGUUAUCCGGAAUUAUUGGGCGUAAAGCGUCCGCAGGUGGUUAUCCAAGUCUGCUGUUAAAGCGCGAGGCUUAACUUCGUACAGGCAGUGGAAACUGGAUGACUAGAGUAUGGUAGGGGUCGCGGGAAUUCCCAGUGUAGCGGUGAAAUGCGUAGAUAUUGGGAAGAACACCAGCGGCGAAAGCGCGCGACUGGGCCAUAACUGACACUCAUGGACGAAAGCUAGGGGAGCGAAAGGGAUUAGAUACCCCUGUAGUCCUAGCUGUAAACGAUGGGUACUAGGUGUUGACCGUAUCGACCCGGUCAGUGCCGUAGCUAACGCGUUAAGUACCCCGCCUGGGGAGUAUGCACGCAAGUGUGAAACUCAAAGGAAUUGACGGGGGCCCGCACAAGCGGUGGAGUAUGUGGUUUAAUUCGAUGCAACGCGAAGAACCUUACCAGGGCUUGACAUGUCGCGAAUCCCGGUGAAAGUCGGGAGUGCCUUCGGGAGCGCGAACACAGGUGGUGCAUGGCUGUCGUCAGCUCGUGUCGUGAGAUGUUGGGUUAAGUCCCGCAACGAGCGCAACCCUCGUUUUUAGUUGCCAGCACUUAGGGUGGGCACUCUAAAGAGACUGCCGGUGACAAACCGGAGGAAGGUGGGGAUGACGUCAAGUCAGCAUGCCCCUUACGUCCUGGGCUACACACGUACUACAAUGCAACGGACAAAGGGCAGCAAGCUAGCAAUAGCAAGCAAAUCUCGUAAACCGUUGCUCAGUUCAGAUCGAAGGCUGCAACUCGCCUUCGUGAAGGUGGAAUCGCUAGUAAUUGCAGGUCAGCAUACUGCAGUGAAUUCGUUCCCGGGCCUUGUACACACCGCCCGUCACACCAUGGAAGCUGGUAGUGCCCGAAGUCAUUACCCCAACCUUUCGAGGAGGGGGAUGCCUAAGGCAGGACUGGUGACUGGGGUGAAGUCGUAACAAGGUAACC
This 1450-nucleotide ribosomal RNA is filed under the name uncultured bacterium. RNAcentral's name for it is "bacterial SSU rRNA". It matches the Rfam family "Bacterial small subunit ribosomal RNA". The record is from RNAcentral.